Molecule: non-coding RNA, 84 nt
Organism: Pelobates cultripes (western spadefoot toad)
Lineage: Eukaryota; Metazoa; Chordata; Amphibia; Anura; Pelobatidae
Source: the annotation of a GenBank genome assembly
GUGUGUUUAUAUAAUGCAGUGUCUUUGUGUAGUGUGCAUUAUAUAAACACACUACACAAACACACUGCAUUAUAUACACAGUGU